RNAcentral lists this ribosomal RNA (284 nucleotides) under uncultured bacterium. RNAcentral's name for it is "partial 16S ribosomal RNA". It matches the Rfam family "Bacterial small subunit ribosomal RNA", at positions 29 to 285 of the family's 1533-position model. The record is from RNAcentral.
AACGAACGCUGGCGGCGUGGAUAAGACAUGCAAGUCGAACGCUCGAUUUUUCCGGGAGCAACUCCGGGGAGGUGGGAGUGGCGCAAGGGUGCGUAACGACGUGGGUAAUUUGCCAGUGAAGUUGGGGAUAAUCCCGCGAAAGCGGGACUAAUACCGGAUGUGGUUGAAGGGUGGCAUCAUUUUUCAACUAAAGUUGGGGACCGCAAGGCCUGACGCUUCAGUGAUAAGCCCGCGGCCUAUCAGCAGUUGGUGGAGGUAACGGCUCACCAAGGCUAAGACGGGUA